This 460-nucleotide ribosomal RNA is filed under the name uncultured bacterium. RNAcentral's name for it is "partial 16S ribosomal RNA". It matches the Rfam family "Bacterial small subunit ribosomal RNA", at positions 338 to 795 of the family's 1533-position model. The record is from RNAcentral.
CCUACGGGGGACUGCAGUGAGGAAUAUUGGUCAAUGGACGCGAGUCUGAACCAGCCAAGUAGCGUGAAGGAUGAAUGCCCUAUGGGUUGUAAACUUCUUUUAUAAAGGAAUAAAACGAGGCACGUGUGCCUUUUUGCAUGUACUUUAUGAAUAAGGAUCGGCUAACUCCGUGCCAGCAGCCGCGGUAAUACGGAGGAUCCGAGCGUUAUCCGGAUUUAUUGGGUUUAAAGGGAGCGUAGGUGGGUUUUUAAGUCAGUUGUGAAAGUUUGCGGCUCAACCAUAAAAUUGCAAUUGAUACUGGCAGUCUUGAGUACAUUUGAGGUAGGCGGAAUUCGUGGUGUAGCGGUGAAAUGCUUAGAUAUCACGAAGAACCCCGAUUGCGAAGGCAGCUUACUAAGCUAUGACUGACAUUGAUGCUCGAAAGUGUGGGGAUCAAACAGGAUUAGAUACCCUGGUAGUC